AACGAACGCUGGCGGCAUGCCUAACACAUGCAAGUCGAACGGGAUCCAGGCUUCGGCCUGGUGAGAGUGGCGGACGGGUGAGUAACACGUGGGAACCUGCCUUUUGGUUCGGGAUAACCGCGGAAAACUGCGGCUAAUACCGGAUGCUCCCGAGAGGGGAAAGAUUUAUCGCCAGAAGAGGGGCCCGCGUCCGAUUAGGUAGUUGGUGAGGUAAUGGCUCACCAAGCCGACGAUCGGUAGCUGGUCUGAGAGGAUGAUCAGCCACACUGGGACUGAGAUACGGCCCAGACUCCUACGGGAGGCAGCAGUGGGGAAUAUUGGACAAUGGGGGCAACCCUGAUCCAGCAAUGCCGCGUGAGUGAUGAAGGCCUUAGGGUUGUAAAGCUCCUUUGCCAGGGAAGAUGAUGACUGUACCUGGAGAAUAAGCCCCGGCUAACUUCGUGCCAGCAGCCGCGGUAA
RNAcentral lists this ribosomal RNA (459 nucleotides) under uncultured bacterium. Its description in RNAcentral is "bacterial SSU rRNA". It matches the Rfam family "Bacterial small subunit ribosomal RNA", at positions 29 to 523 of the family's 1533-position model. The record is from RNAcentral.